UACGGAGGAUGCAAGCGUUAUCCGGAAUGAUUGGGCGUAAAGCGUCCGCAGGUGGCUAUGUAAGUCUGCUGUUAAAGAGUCUGGCUCAACCAGAUAAAGGCAGUGGAAACUACAUGGCUAGAGUGCGUUCGGGGCAGAGGGAAUUCCUGGUGUAGCGGUGAAAUGCGUAGAGAUCAGGAAGAACACCGGUGGCGAAAGCGCUCUGCUAGGCCGCAACUGACACUGAGGGACGAAAGCUAGGGGAGCAAACGGG
This 253-nucleotide ribosomal RNA is filed under the name uncultured bacterium. RNAcentral describes it as "partial 16S ribosomal RNA". It matches the Rfam family "Bacterial small subunit ribosomal RNA", at positions 524 to 776 of the family's 1533-position model. The record is from RNAcentral.